RNAcentral lists this ribosomal RNA (1234 nucleotides) under metagenome. RNAcentral's name for it is "bacterial LSU rRNA". It matches the Rfam family "Bacterial large subunit ribosomal RNA", at positions 1564 to 2808 of the family's 2925-position model. The record is from RNAcentral.
UGAAUACGAGAUGCUACGGCGUCGAAGCAGUCUAUGUCAUACUUCCAAGAAAAGCUUGCACUGUCAUAAACAAAUAAUGCCUGUACCAUAACCGACACAGGUGGGUAGGUAGAGUAUACUAAGGGGCGCGAGAUAACUCUCUCUAAGGAACUCGGCAAAAUGACUCCGUAACUUCGGGAGAAGGAGUGCCUUAUUUAUAAGGUUGCAAUAACAAGAUCCAAGCAACUGUUUACCAAAAACACAGGUCUCCGCUAAGUCGUAAGACGAUGUAUGGGGGCUGACGCCUGCCCAGUGCCAGAAGGUUAAAGAAGUUGGUUAGCAUCCGCGAAGCUGAUAACUGAAGCCCUGGUGAACGGCGGCCGUAACGAUAACGGUCCUAAGGUAGCGAAAUUCCUUGUCGGGUAAGUUCCGACCCGCACGAAAGGCGUAAUGAUUUGGAUACUGUCUCGGAGAGGGGCUCGGUGAAAUAGACUUGUCUGUGAAGAUGCGGACUACCUGCACCAGGACAGAAAGACCCUAUGAAGCUUUACUGUAACCUGAAAUUGAAAUUGGACUUUACUUGCGCAGUAUAGGUGGGAGGCGUUGAGAAUAUUCUUGCGGGAUUAUUGGAGCCAUCAGUGGGAUACCACUCUUGUAAUGUUAGAUUUCUAACUUUGUAUCAUUAUCUGGUCAAAGAACAGUUUCAGGCGGGCAGUUUGACUGGGGCGGUCGCCUCCUAAACGGUAACGGAGGCGCACAAAGGUUUCCUCUGAACGGGUAGAAAUCGUAUCUAGAGUGUAAAGGCAUAAGGAAGCUUGACUGUGAGACCUACAAGUCGAGCAGGGACGAAAGUCGGUCUUAGUGAUCUGACGGUGCUGAGUGGAAAGGCCGUCACUCAACGGAUAAAAGUUACUCUAGGAUAACAGGCUGAUCUCCCCCAAGAGUUCACAUCGACGGGGGGGUUUGGCACCUCGAUGUCGGCUCAUCGCAUCCUGGGGCGGUAGUACGUCCCAAGGGUUGGGCUGUUCGCCCAUGGAAGCGGUACGCGAGCUGGGUUCAGAACGUCGUGAGACAGUUCGGUCCAUAUCCGGUGUAGGCGUUAGAAUAUUGAGAGGAGCCUUCUUUAGUACGAGAGGACCGAGAAGGACAUACCUCUGGUGUACCAGUUAUCGUGCCAACGGUAAACGCUGGGUAGCUAUGUGUGGAGUGGAUAACCGCUGAAAGCAUCUAAGUGGGAAGCCCACCUCAAGAUAAG